UGUAAGCGUAUACCAAAGUUGUUGCAGUUAAAACGCUCGUAGUCGGAAUUUGGCAGUUCCGGAUGUGUGCACGUCGUGUGCGCACUUCGCGGGGAUUGCUUUUGUGGUCUUGCGUAGGAUGAGGCACUUUUAUUAGUGAACGUCCUCACGCAACCACUUUUUACUGGGAGAAAAUCAGAGUGCUCAAAGCAGGCAUUUGCCGUGAAUGUAUUAGCAUGGAAUAAUAGAAUAGGACUUGGUUCUAUUUUGUUGGUUUGUUGGGACUGAGUAAUGAUUAAGAGGGACAGUUGGGGGCAUUUGUAUUUCGGUGCUAGAGGUGAAAUUCUUAGAUUACCGAAAGACAAACUGCUGCGAAAGCGUCUGCCAAGGAUGUUUUCAUUGA
RNAcentral lists this ribosomal RNA (382 nucleotides) under uncultured eukaryote. Its description in RNAcentral is "partial 18S ribosomal RNA". It matches the Rfam family "Eukaryotic small subunit ribosomal RNA", at positions 592 to 976 of the family's 1831-position model. The record is from RNAcentral.